Molecule: ribosomal RNA, 418 nt
Filed under: uncultured bacterium
Lineage: Bacteria
Description: bacterial SSU rRNA
Rfam family: Bacterial small subunit ribosomal RNA
Source: RNAcentral
UGGGGAAUAUUGCACAAUGGGCGGAAGCCUGAUGCAGCAACGCCGCGUGAGGGAUGAAGGCCUUCGGGUCGUAAACCUCUGUCCUUGGGGAAGAAACAAAUGACGGUACCCAUGGAGGAAGCCCCGGCUAACUACGUGCCAGCAGCCGCGGUAAUACGUAGGGGGCGGAGCGUUAUCCGGAAUUAUUGGGCGUAAAGAGUGCGUAGGUGGUUACCUAAGCGCAGGGUCUAAGGCAAUGGCUCAACCAUUGUUCGCCCUGCGAACUGGGCUACUUGAGUGCAGGAGAGGAGAGCGGAAUUCCUAGUGUAGCGGUGAAAUGCGUAGAUAUUAGGAGGAACACCAGUGGCGAAGGCGGCUUUCUGGACUGUUACUGACACUGAGGCACGAAAGCGUGGGGAGCAAACAGGAUUAGAUACCC